AAACUUAAGGGUUUGAUUCUGGCUCAGGACGAACGCUGGCGGCGUGCUUAACACAUGCAAG
RNAcentral lists this ribosomal RNA (61 nucleotides) under Clostridia bacterium. Its description in RNAcentral is "partial 16S ribosomal RNA". It matches the Rfam family "Bacterial small subunit ribosomal RNA", at positions 1 to 61 of the family's 1533-position model. The record is from RNAcentral. Lineage: Bacteria; Bacillati; Bacillota; Clostridia.